CAGGCCUAACACAUGCAAGUCGAACGAUGGUCUUCGGAUCAUAGUGGCGCACGGGUGCGUAACGCGUGGGAAUCUGCCCUUGGGUCUGGGAUAACAGCGGGAAACUGCUGCUAAUACCGGAUGAUAUCGCGAGAUCAAAGAUUUAUCGCCUGAGGAUAAGCCCGCGUCGGAUUAGCUAGUUGGUGGGGUAAAGGCCUACCAAGGCGACGAUCCGUAGCUGGUAUGAGAGGAUGAUCAGCCACACUGGGACUGAGACACGGCCCAGACUCCUACGGGAGGCAGCAGUGGGGAAUAUUGGACAAUGGGCGAAAGCCUGAUCCAGCAAUGCCGCGUGAGUGAUGAAGGCCUUAGGGUUGUAAAGCGAUUUGACCCGGGAUGAGAAUGACAUGACCGGGAGAAGAAGCCCCGGCGAACUCCGUGCCAGCAGCCGCGG
RNAcentral lists this ribosomal RNA (433 nucleotides) under uncultured bacterium. RNAcentral's name for it is "bacterial SSU rRNA". It matches the Rfam family "Bacterial small subunit ribosomal RNA", at positions 43 to 520 of the family's 1533-position model. The record is from RNAcentral.